This 570-nucleotide ribosomal RNA is filed under the name uncultured bacterium. RNAcentral describes it as "bacterial SSU rRNA". It matches the Rfam family "Bacterial small subunit ribosomal RNA", at positions 338 to 919 of the family's 1533-position model. The record is from RNAcentral.
CCUACGGGAGGCAGCAGUGGGGAAUAUUGGACAAUGGGCGAAAGCCUGAUCCAGCAACGCCGCGUGAGGGAUGACGGCCUUCGGGUUGUAAACCUCUUUCAGCGCAGACGAAGCGAAAGUGACGGUAUGCGCAGAAGAAGCACCGGCCAACUACGUGCCAGCAGCCGCGGUAAUACGUAGGGUGCGAGCGUUGUCCGGAAUUAUUGGGCGUAAAGGGCUCGUAGGCGGUUUGUUGCGUCGGGAGUGAAAACUCAGGGCUUAACCCUGAGCCUGCUUCCGAUACGGGCAGACUAGAGGUAUGCAGGGGAGAACGGAAUUCCUGGUGUAGCGGUGAAAUGCGCAGAUAUCAGGAGGAACACCGGUGGCGAAGGCGGUUCUCUGGGCAUUACCUGACGCUGAGGAGCGAAAGUGUGGGGAGCGAACAGGAUUAGAUACCCUGGUAGUCCACACCGUAAACGUUGGGCGCUAGGUGUGGGACUCAUUCCACGAGUUCCGUGCCGCAGCUAACGCAUUAAGCGCCCGCCUGGGGAGUACGGCCGCAAGGCAAAACGUUAAAGGAAAUUAAGACGG